RNAcentral lists this ribosomal RNA (502 nucleotides) under uncultured Campylobacterota bacterium. RNAcentral's name for it is "bacterial SSU rRNA". It matches the Rfam family "Bacterial small subunit ribosomal RNA", at positions 897 to 1395 of the family's 1533-position model. The record is from RNAcentral. Lineage: Bacteria; Pseudomonadati; Campylobacterota.
AAACUCAAAGGAAUAGACGGGGACCCGCACAAGCGGUGGAGCAUGUGGUUUAAUUCGACGAUACGCGAAGAACCUUACCUGGCCUUGACAUAGAAAGAACUUACUAGAGAUAGUUUGGUGCUAGCUUGCUAGAACUUUCAUACAGGUGCUGCACGGCUGUCGUCAGCUCGUGUCGUGAGAUGUUGGGUUAAGUCCCGCAACGAGCGCAACCCUCGUGUUUAGUUCCUAACAGUUCGGCUGAGGACUCUAGACAGACUGCCUGGGUAACCAGGAGGAAGGUGAGGACGACGUCAAGUCAUCAUGGCCCUUACGGCCAGGGCUACUCACGUGCUACAAUGGGGUAUACAAAGAGCCGCGAUACCGCGAGGUGGAGCAAAUCUCAUAAAAUAUCUCCCAGUUCGGAUUGAAGUCUGCAACUCGACUUCAUGAAGUUGGAAUCGCUAGUAAUCGUGAAUCAGCAAUGGUACGGUGAAUACGUUCCCGGGCCUUGUACUCACCGCCC